GACGAACGCUGGCGGCGUGCUUAACACAUGCAAGUCGAACGAACAAGCCUAGCUUUCUCGCUGCUUUCGUUGCCAACGGGCGGGUAAUACACAAGUAGAUUACCUUUAACUCUGAGAUAAACAAGGUCGACAGGGUCUAAUAACGGAUGCGAACAAUCUCCACCUGGGGUGUUGGUGGAAAGCAUUAGGUGGUGGUUUUAGAUGGAUUCAAAGCCGAUCAGCUUUUUGGUGUGGUAAAGGUUCACCAAGGCGACGACGGGUAGCCGGCCUGAGAGGGUGAGCGGCCACCCUGGGACUGAGACACGGCCCAGACUGCUACGGUAGGCAGCAGUGGGGAAUAUUGCACAGUGGGCGCAAGCCUGAUGCAACGACGCCGCGUGAGGGAUGCCGGCCUUCGGGUUGUAAACCUCUGUUAGCAGAGAAGAAGAGAGAUUGACGGUACCUGCAGAGAAAGCGCCGGCUAACUACGUG
RNAcentral lists this ribosomal RNA (471 nucleotides) under uncultured bacterium. RNAcentral's name for it is "partial 16S ribosomal RNA". It matches the Rfam family "Bacterial small subunit ribosomal RNA", at positions 28 to 507 of the family's 1533-position model. The record is from RNAcentral.